Molecule: long non-coding RNA, 604 nt
Organism: Solea senegalensis (Senegalese sole)
Lineage: Eukaryota; Metazoa; Chordata; Actinopteri; Pleuronectiformes; Soleidae
Exons: 3
Source: RefSeq, a predicted model, not a curated record
CACACACUGAUCUGUGUGUGCGUGUGUGUGUGUGUCUCCAGGUCCUUUAUCCUUCAACCCUAAGUGCAGGAAACAGUUCAACAGACUGUACCACAACACCAGAGACUGCACUGUACCUGCCUAUUAUAGACGAUGUGCUCGUCUGCUGAUGCAGCUCGCUAACAGCCCGCGCUGCACUGAGAGAUAGACGUCUCUGGACGCGCAGCCUUGCCGUGACGGUGAGGAGGGAGGAGCAUCCGUGAUGUGAUGUCAUCAGCAGUGGCAGCCAAUGAGCUGAGAGAUCACAGCGUCUCCUCGUCUCCUCGUCUCCUAUCGGCUAAAACCAUAAAAACUCUUUCACUUAUCAGAUUACAGGUAAUCAGAUUACAGGUAAUCGGAUUACAUUCACUGACACAAGAUCUGAGAAUGUGGAAUAAAUGGCGCCUCCUGCGGGACAACAGUGGGUCUGUCUCUGGAGGAUGGAGGACAAACAAUGUCCCGCUCAGUGUGUGAGGACCUGAUUGAAGACACCCACUGUUAUUUUGUUACAUCAUCAUAAUAAUAACAAUAAUAAUAAUAAUCUGUGUACAACGUGAAAGAAGAAUAAAGACACUUUUGAUAUUUA